RNAcentral lists this long non-coding RNA (1049 nucleotides) under Mustela putorius furo (domestic ferret). RNAcentral's name for it is "lncRNA (ENSMPUG00000025816.1)". The record is from RNAcentral. Lineage: Eukaryota; Metazoa; Chordata; Mammalia; Carnivora; Mustelidae.
CAUAUAGAUAAAAGAGAAAGGAUACACCAGAGAGGAAAGAGGGAGAAACCGUUGGAUAGACUUUCUUCAGUUACCUGGGAGAAAAUGGAAGUGGCAAAGAAGGAAAUGGAUGUUACGUAUAAGAAACGAAGGAGAGUGAUGCUGGAGGAGGACAGAGGAAGUCUAUGGAAAGGAAGUACCCUGAGAAGAGUACAUACAGUGCACCUGGUGCAUAUCUUAUGGGAAAGGAAGGAUGACCCAAAUUCACAAACGGUGGAUCCAAAUACCAUUGGGGAUAUUUCCCAGGCAUCCAGAACUGGAAACGUGCACCUGGCCAGAUUCAGAGUCACUAUGGAUCAGCUAUGUGCCUCUUAUUUUUCCCCGUUUUGAAGGUAGAUGUCUGUUGUGGUUGCUGUAACUGUCUCACGUUGUAUACUGAGUGUGUAGGAAACAGAGUACUUGUCUCUUUAGCUCAGAGCCUUCAGAGCAAGAGGAACCAUAUUCCAGGAACCAUUCUCAAGGAACUUCCUCCAAACCUGCUCCUGAUUUUAGAUAACUAGAUGAUGGACUUUGAGAUGAUGCCAUAAUGGGAUCAAAUGGGACGAAACUUUGGGCAUCUUGCUGGAGGUGAAUGAAUUCUGCAAGGAGAAGAAAUGUAAAUAACUUGUGGCUGUAGGAAAGAUGAUAGCAAAGAAACCAUGUCUGUGUUACUUAAAAUUUCCCUUUUGAGAGUUUGGAUCUAUUUCCCUUCCAUUGAAUCUACACUGGACAAGAUCCUUGGAGCAUUCCAGCAUGAUGGGUUGGAAUGAUACUAUAACAGUUGCAAGCCUAGACUUUAGGAACUGUAAGUUUCUGUCUUGAUAUCUUAAAUCUAUGAGCUAUCGUUAUAAAAUCUGAUUUCCCAGUUGGAGAUACCACAGGAAGAUCUAAGACUACAUGGGGAAGGUGAAGAGCCCAGCUGAAGUCACCUCUCUGGAUAUGACCCUUCAAUUGGCAGGCAUGUGAGUAAAGCCAGUGGACUUUCUAGAACAGUCCAGCUGAAUUCCAUUGAAAGAUUACGGUCAAAGUUA